UGGUCAAGCCGCACGGCUGAUUAGUAUCGGUUAGCUCCACACAUCGCUGUGCGUCCACACCCGACCUAUCACCUGGUCAUCUUCCAGGAGCCUUUAGAGGCCUUGCGGCCUGGGAAAUCUCAUCUUGUGGAGGGUUUCACGCUUAGAUGCAUUCAGCGUUUCUCCCGUCCGCACGUAGCUACCGAGCGCUGCCGUUGGCACGACAACUCGUACACUAGAGGUGCGUCCAUCCCGGUCCUCUCGUACUAAGGACAGCCCCACUCAAAUUUCCUCCGCCCAUGACAGAUAGAGACCGAACUGUCUCGCGACGUUCUAAACCCAGCUCACGUACCGCUUUAACCGGCGAACAGCCGGACCCUUGGAACCUGCUACAGCUCCAGGAUGCGAUGAGCCGACAUCGAGGUGCCAAACCUGAGCGUCGAUGUGAACUCUUGGCUCAGAUCAGCCUGUUAUCCCCGGCGUACCUUUUAUCCGUUGAGCGAUGGCCCUUCCACGCGGAACCACCGGAUCACUAAAGCCUGGUUUCCCACCUGCUCGUCUUGUAGGACUCGCAGUCAAGCUCGCUUCUGCUUUUGCACUCUCCGGCUGAUUUCCAAACAGCCUGAGCGAACCUUCGCGCGCCUCCGUUACAGUUUAGGAGGCGACCGCCCCAGUCAAACUACCCACCUAGCAGUGUCCCUGACCUGGAUGACAGGUCGAGGUUAGAACGCCGGAGUGUUAAGGGUGGUAUCUCACCGUUGGCUCCCCCGAGUCCGAGAACCCGAGAUCACAGCCUCCCACCUAUCCUGCGCAUAACACGCCAGCAUUCACUACUAAGAUGUAGUAAAGGUGCACGGGGUCUUUUCGUCUAGUCACGGGCAACCGGCGUCUUCACCGGUACCACAAAUUCGCAGUGCUCCUCGUUGAGACAGCGCCCAGAUCGUUACGCCAUUCGUGCAGGUCGGAACUUACCCGACAAGGAAUUUCGCUACCUUAGGACCGUUAUAGUUACGGCCGCCGUUUACCGGGGCUUCAGCUCGAAGCGUCGCCUUGCGGCUAACCUCUCCCUUUAACCUUCCGGCACCGGGCAGGCGUCAGACCCUAUACGUCGUGUUCGACUUCGCAGAGUCCUGUGUUUUUAGUAAACAGUCGCCUGGGCCUCUUUAUUGCAACUCGUUCACGCACGUCAUCGCGAGGACGACGCACCCUAAUCGAGCACCCCUUAUUCCGAAGUUACGGGGCUAGUUUGCCGAGUUCCUAAACGAGGAUUCUCACUCGCGCCUGAGGAUUUUCUCCUCACCUACCUGUGUCGGUUUGCGGUACGGGUACCCACUCCACUCCUUAGAGGCUUUUCUCGGCAGCGUGGCGUCAGCAGCUUUGCGGGUGAAACACCCUCGCGAUGGUCCCUCAGGGUAUGUGAAUCACCGGAUUUACCUGGCGACUCCCCCUACAGACCUCAACCCACACGUCCAAUCGUGGGCCUGCCUAGCCUCCUGCGUCCCCCCAUCGUAAUAACGUGGAAUAGGUAGUUCCGGAAUAUUGACCGGAUAUCCAUCCGCUACGCCUUUCGGCCUCGCGUUAGGACCCGACUGACCCUGAGCGGACGAACCUUCCUCAGGAAACCUUAGGUUUACGGCGGGGAAGAUUCUCACUUCCCUUCUCGCUACUUAUGCCGGCAGGGUCACUUCUCAACACUCCACCAGUCCUCACGGUCUGACUUCGCUGCGUUGAGAACGCUCCUCUACCAAAACACCGCCCCGCAGGGCAGUGCAGUCUACGGCUUCGGUCCUGUGCUUGAGCCCCGUUAUAUUGUCGGCCCAGAGCCGCUUGACCAGUGAGCUAUUACGCUUUCUUUAAAGGAUGGCUGCUUCUAAGCCAACCUCCUGGUUGUCUAAGCGUCUCCAGAUCCUUUACCACUUAGCACAGAGUUAGGGACCUUAGCCGGUAGUCUGGGCUGUUUCCCUCUCGACAAUGAAGCUUAGCCCCCACUGUCUGACUCCCGAGAUACGUGUCGUUGGCAUUCGCAGUUUGAUUGGAUUCAGUAAGCUGGUAAGCCCCCUAGUCCAUUCAGUUCUCUACCACCAACGCCGACCUCUCGAGGCUAUCCCUAAAGAUAUUUCGAGGAGAACGGGCAAUCACGAGGUUUGAUUAGCCUUUCACCCCUACCCUCAGCUCAUCCAAGCUGUUUUCAACCAACACUGGUUCGGGCCUCCAUACGGUGUUACCCGUACUUCACCCUGGCCAAGGGUAGAUCACCUCGCUUCGCGUCUAAUCCCAGCGACUCGUCGCCCAUUUCGGACUCGCUUUCGCUUCGGCUCGCUUUCGCUUAACCUUGCCACUGAGAUUAACUAGCCGGCUCAUUAUGCAAAAGGCACGCGGUCAGGCAUUCCCGAGUCGAAACUCAGGCAUAGCCCUCCCACUGCUUGUAGGCAUACGGUUUCAGGUACUCUUUCACUCCCCUCGCAGGGGUUCUUUUCACCUUUCCCUCACGGUACUGGUUCACUAUCGGUCGCCAGGGAGUAUUUAGCCUUACCAGAUGGUCCUGGUCGAUUCCCACGGGAUUUCUCGUGUCCCGCGGUACUCAGGUGCCUGUCCAACGAGCCAGCAUGUUGUCGCCUACGGGGCUGUCACCCUCUGUGGCCGAUCGUUCCAGAUCGUUCGACUAACAAGCUGGUUGGUAACUCGUCGACCUUACGGUCCAACAGGUCCUACAACCCCACCGUGCAUGCACGCUGGUUUGGGCUAUGUCCGCGUUCGCUCGCCGCUACUAGCGGAAUCACUAUUGUUUUCUGUUCCUCCGGGUACUGAGAUGGUUCACUUCCCCGGGUUGUCUUCGUCACCCUAUGAAUUCAGAUGACGAUACUCAGGUAUGAGCCUGAGCGGGUUGCCCCAUUCGGAAAUCCUCGGGUCAAAGCCUGUUUGCGGCUCACCGAAGCUUAUCGCAGCUGACCACGUCCUUCAUCGACUCCUGGCGCCAAGGCAUUCACCGUACGCCCUUAGUAGCUUGACC
RNAcentral lists this ribosomal RNA (2989 nucleotides) under uncultured bacterium 126. RNAcentral's name for it is "23S ribosomal RNA". The record is from RNAcentral.